RNAcentral lists this ribosomal RNA (469 nucleotides) under uncultured bacterium. RNAcentral describes it as "partial 16S ribosomal RNA". It matches the Rfam family "Bacterial small subunit ribosomal RNA", at positions 28 to 507 of the family's 1533-position model. The record is from RNAcentral.
GACGAACGCUGGCGGCGUGCUUAACACAUGCAAGUCGAACGGAAAGGCCCUGCUUGCAGGGUGCUCGAGUGGCGAACGGGUGAGUAACACGUGGGUGAUCUGCCCCUUACUUUGGGAUAAGCCUGGGAAACUGGGUCUAAUACUGGAUAGGACCAUGCUGUAGGUGGUGUGGUGGAAAGAUUAGUUUCGGUAAGGGAUGAGGUCGCGGCCUAUCAGCUUGUUGGUGGGGUAAUGGCCUACCAAGGCGUCGACGGGUAGCCGGCCUGAGAGGGUGGACGGCGACAUUGGGACGGAGGUACGGCCCAGACGCCUACGGGAGGCAGCAGUGGGGAAGAUUGCACAAUGGGCGGAAGCCUGAUGCAGCGACGCCGCGUGGGGGAUGACGGCCGUCGGGUUGUAAACUCCUUUCAGCCAUGACGAAGCCCUUGUGGUGACGGUAGUGGUAGAAGAAGCACCGGCUAACUACGUG